AGUAGGUACACCUAGUUAAUUAUACAAAAACGUAUAGUUGAGCAAAUCCAUCGUCAAACUUUCAAUAAAAAAAGUAAGAAACAACACAAACGAGCAACGAGCACAUUGCACAUUAUUCAUUUUGUCAUAAUGAUAUUCCAGUGUUGUCGAGUGUAACUAUAGUCUACUCUCGGUAUACAACAAUAACAAUUGAAUACGAUGCUGGCAGUGCCGAAAAAGAAAGUGUGCGAAGACGGAGGAAAAAUGACGGAUUUCAUAAAUAUAUGUCGGUGAGCCAACGAACCGAUGGACAAAUUACUCUUACCAUGCAUCGUAUCAAAGCCGAACAUUUGAUUACUCAUUCCGGAUUAAAAUAUGUUUGUCGUGAAUG
This is a long non-coding RNA of Bradysia coprophila, 370 nucleotides long. The record is from RefSeq and is a predicted model, not a curated record. Lineage: Eukaryota; Metazoa; Arthropoda; Insecta; Diptera; Sciaridae.